AUUGAACGCUGACGGCAUGCCUUACACAUGCAAGUCGAACGGCAGCGGGGGAGAAGCUUGCUUUUCCUGCCGGCGAGUGGCGAACGGGUGAGUAAUACAUCGGAACGUGCCCUGUAGUGGGGGAUAACUAGUCGAAAGAUUAGCUAAUACCGCAUACGACCUGAGGGUGAAAGUGGGGGACCGCAAGGCCUCAUGCUAUAGGAGCGGCCGAGGUCUGAUUAGCUAGUUGGUGGGGUAAAGGCCUACCAAGGCGACGAUCAGUAGCUGGUCUGAGAGGACGCUCAGCCACACUGGGACUGAGACACGGCCCAGACUCCUACGGGAGGCAGCAGUGGGGAAUUUUGGACAAUGGGCGAAAGCCUGAUCCAGCAAUGCCGCGUGUGUGAAGAAGGCCUUCGGGUUGUAAAGCACUUUUGUCCGGAAAGAAAUGGCUCUGGUUAAUACCUGGGGUCGAUGACGGUACCGGAAGAAUAAGGACCGGCUAACUACGUGCCAGCCGCCGCCGUAA
Molecule: ribosomal RNA, 508 nt
Filed under: uncultured bacterium
Lineage: Bacteria
Description: partial 16S ribosomal RNA
Rfam family: Bacterial small subunit ribosomal RNA
Source: RNAcentral